Long non-coding RNA from Anguilla rostrata (American eel), 836 nucleotides. RefSeq lists it as uncharacterized. The transcript has 2 exons. Lineage: Eukaryota; Metazoa; Chordata; Actinopteri; Anguilliformes; Anguillidae. The record is from RefSeq and is a predicted model, not a curated record.
CGAGGCUCACAUGCCUACGCACAUCAGCUACGGCUGAACUCGCAUCAAACUGCCUUGCAUAUUCUGAGGGGUCCGCUCCACUGAAGUCACAGCGCCUCAGCCGCCUUGCGACCUGCCACACCUGCCCGUCCCGCCAAUUGGGGAAGAAGGCUGGCGGGGUGGCGGGGUGGCGGGGGCUCUGAACCUGAACUCGCCGUCAUGAGCCUCAAGCUGAGAAAUGGCACCUACACGAGGACAGCAAAACAGCAGGAGCUGAGCCAGUGGAUUCUCUUAUUAAAUGCAAUCAAGUCAACAUCCUAAAUCUGCAGCCACUUAUCUCCCUCUCCAUGACACACAAUCUCCAUCAGCUGGCUCACACCAGAUUUGUCUUUCUCUGUAAAAAUGUUACACGAUGUUUCAAUAAUCCAUACAGUAGGUGGUAUCUGCAAGCAGGCCUCUCCUUUAGAGAAAGAGCUUGACUAUGGACCUCCCCCCCCCACCCCCAAACGUGCCCCUCAGACCCCUCCCUGUAUAACUCAUCAGUCUUUUCUGCUCGUAGGCCGUCACUUGUGACCAGGGCAUUCUCUCAGCUGACCAUGUCCUCCUCGGGGUCAGAGGUAAUUUGUUCUGGUGUGGGAGUGUGUCACAGCCUAGAGGUCAACGGGGGUCAGGCCAAACAGCACAGCGGUCAGCAGGAGGUUAUUAAACACUGAGCGACUGACUGCACUUUAACUCCCUCUGCCCCACUGAGAUCUUAAGAGAUACACCAAACUCAAAGCAGAUGAGGGGUCGCGGGUUUGAGUACUGUCAAGCAUGGUGUCCGGAUGUUCAAUGAAAAUUAAAAGACUAAAAACCUU